GUUAUCAUAGCUUACACUCAAGCAUAGCACUGAAAAUGCUAAGACGGCCCCCCCUGAUAACA
This 62-nucleotide transfer RNA is filed under the name Ophiophagus hannah (king cobra). RNAcentral describes it as "tRNA-Phe". Lineage: Eukaryota; Metazoa; Chordata; Lepidosauria; Squamata; Elapidae. The record is from RNAcentral.